RNAcentral lists this ribosomal RNA (253 nucleotides) under uncultured bacterium. Its description in RNAcentral is "partial 16S ribosomal RNA". It matches the Rfam family "Bacterial small subunit ribosomal RNA", at positions 524 to 776 of the family's 1533-position model. The record is from RNAcentral.
GACAGAGGGUGCAAACGUUGUUCGGAAUUACUGGGCGUAAAGCGAGUGUAGGCGGUUUCCUAAGUCAGGUGUGAAAGCCCCGGGCUCAACCCGGGAAGUGCACUUGAAACUGGGAGGCUAGAGUAUCGGAGAGGUUGGUGGAAUUCUCGGUGUAGAGGUGAAAUUCGUAGAUAUCGGGAGGAACACCAGUGGCGAAGGCGGCGAUCUGGGUCGAUACUGACGCUGAGGUGCGAAAGCGUGGGGAGCAAACAGG